RNAcentral lists this ribosomal RNA (292 nucleotides) under uncultured bacterium. RNAcentral's name for it is "partial 16S ribosomal RNA". It matches the Rfam family "Bacterial small subunit ribosomal RNA", at positions 505 to 796 of the family's 1533-position model. The record is from RNAcentral.
GUGUCAGCAGCCGCGGUAAUACGGAGGGUGCAAGCGUUAUCCGGAUUUACUGGGUUUAAAGGGUGUGUAGGCGGACUUUUAAGUCCGUGGUGAAAUCUCCGGGCUCAACCCGGAAACUGCCAUGGAUACUAUUUGUCUUGAAUGUUGUUGAGGUGGGCGGAACGGGUCAUGUAGCGGUGAAAUGCAUAGAUAUGACCCGGAACACCGAUUGCGAAGGCAGCCCACUAAGCAAUGAUUGACGCUGAGGCACGAAAGCGUGGGGAUCAAACAGGAUUAGAAACCCCCGUAGUCC